RNAcentral lists this ribosomal RNA (274 nucleotides) under Peptoniphilus koenoeneniae. RNAcentral describes it as "partial 23S ribosomal RNA". It matches the Rfam family "Bacterial large subunit ribosomal RNA", at positions 1 to 281 of the family's 2925-position model. The record is from RNAcentral. Lineage: Bacteria; Bacillati; Bacillota; Tissierellia; Tissierellales; Peptoniphilaceae.
GGUCAAGUUAAAAAGAGCAUUAGGCGGAUGCCUAGGCACCAAGAGGCGAAGAAGGACGUGACAAGCUGCGAAAAGCUGCGGAAAGGAGCAAAUAUCCAAUGAUCCGCAGAUAUCCGAAUGGGGAAACCCGAUCAAAAGAUCAUCUCAUACCCAAACAAAUAAGUAUGAGAAGCGAACCCGGCGAACUGAAACAUCUAAGUAGCCGGAGGAAAAGAAAGAAAACUCGAUGUCCCAAGUAGCGGCGAGCGAACAGGACAAAGCCCAAAAGGACAAA